CUUUAAUCAUGUUGGAAAGGUCACACGUGAUGUAGGCGGAAGUACCACGACUGAGCAUCAAACUUGACUGACAUACCUGGCUUGAAUGUUUUGUGGGAUGAUACUCCAUGCGAGGUCAUCAUCGCUGUCAUAACGCCGGGGGUUGUCAAAGAAAUAAGCUCUAGAUGAGAACAUGUGCCCGGGGAUCACUGCUGCACUCUGAAAACCAGAGAGAUGAGAGGUGCCAGCACCACUAAGUUGUAGCACGCACGGGACGAGUACAGCAGGAUCACUGUCACUCCGAUUACAGUCACCUGACACACAGAUGUUCCCUAGACAGACGAGAUGAGACGUGACAUUCAGAUCUGACUCAAUUCUGGUAGAUGUUGGCCAAAGACAUCUUGGCGAUCUUGUAGAGACACAGUGAGAGUGAGACGGCACAGAGGACAAACAGAGUGUCGUUGAUGGCCACACGCACCAGCACUACAGUCUCUGUGUCGGCCUUUGUCAUCUUCACCAGCAGCGCACAGGUCAGGUUCACCAGCAGGAAGAUGAUGCUGAUGCACAGGAACAGCAGAGAGAGAGAGAACUUCACUGAGCAUGUGCUGAAUAAGUGCAGUGUUAUUUUAGUAUUAAUUAUAUUGUAACAUGUAUGUUCUGUUUUGUUCUGUUUUGUUAUCAUGGUGUUUUGGUUUCCCUGUCUGUGUUCCCUAGUUUCCCUGGUUAUUAAUUAGUUCCCACACCUGUUGCGUUUGACAUUGAUUAUGCUCCUCAUGUAUGAGCCCUGUGUUUCCCUAAUUCCUUUUAUCCGGUAUCAUCUAUGUUAAAAUUGGUUGUGUUUAUGUUUACUCCUUACGAUCUUUUGAGUUUUCUGUCAUGGAUUUAAUAAUGUUUUCUACUCCUUUCAUCAUGCGAUUACUCAAGUGAGUAAGUGAAUUAAUAUUCUUGUAUGCUUGUGUAACCCAAUCCAGUCUUACUGUAGCCUCAGUACAGCCUGAUUACAUCUGUGGUCUAAAGGGUUUGUAACUUUUAAUCAUCUGUCACUGAAUGGACUAACCUCUGGUUUCACCGCAAGCCUCCUGAAGCCGUGAGAACCUUCUCUGUGUCUGCACCUCGACUUGGGACUGUAUUGGUGAAUUAUUGCUUGAAUUAUUGCUCAGUGACAUGCAACUUGGCCCAGAUGUCAGAGGUCAAGCAAAUCAAUCAACAGUGCAGUUAUAAUCACAUUAAGGUCAUGUGAUGUGGUUAUAAUGGGGAAUAAAAUGCAUGUUUUCAAGUUUCAUAUGUCUCAGAUUAUAAUUUUAAUCUAUACUUUGAUUUUGAUGUAAAAGUCAGUAUCACAGAAAUAAUGUGUGGAAUAUCUGAUAUGUAAAAAAUAAAAAUAUUCUUGCAUUAUUGUUUGAAUUUGAGCCACGUAUAUGCUGCUUUGUAAUGCUUAAAAGUUCAUGUAGCAGGAUUAAGAAAAAUAUAUUAUUAAAAACUCUUCCCAUAAAGAGUGCGAACUUGAAUUUAAUUGGCCACAAUUGUAAUGAAAUGACAGGAAGAGGAAUUAAAUAUGUUAAACACAAUCAUACAACAGAGGAAUUGAAUUAGUCCAACACAACAACUAAAAAGUUCCAGAGCAGAUUA
Molecule: long non-coding RNA, 1608 nt
Organism: Megalobrama amblycephala (Wuchang bream)
Lineage: Eukaryota; Metazoa; Chordata; Actinopteri; Cypriniformes; Xenocyprididae
Exons: 5
Source: RefSeq, a predicted model, not a curated record